AAAUAUUCCGCAGCCUGUGGGAAGUGACGGAUCACGUAACUUGUUCGACCUUACUGGAUUGGUCGGGCCGGGAAGUGGUCCCAGGAAAUAGCUCCCACGUAUAGGCCGUACCCCAAACCGACACAGGUGGACUGGCAGAGUAUGCUAAGGCGCUUGAGAGAACUGUAUUGAAGGAACUAGGCAAAUUGCCCUCGUAACUUCGGAAGAAGAGGGCCCGAUUCUUACGCAAGUAGGAGUCGGGGGCACAUAGCAGGGGGUGGCGACUGUUUACUAAAAACACAGGGCGCUGCGAAAUCCAAAGAUGACGUAUAGCGUCUGACGCCUGCCCGGUGCUGGAAGGUUAAGAGGAGAUGUGAAAGCGUUGAAUCGAAGCCCCAGUAAACGGCGGCCGUAACAAUAACGGUCCUAAGGUAGCGAAAUUCCUUGUCGGGUAAGUUCCGACCUGCACGAAAGGCGUAACGACUUCCCCACUGUCUCCAAUACAGGCUCAGCGAAAUUGAAUUCCCCGUGAAGAUGCGGGGUUCCCGCGGUCAGACGGAAAGACCCCGUGCACCUUUACUGCAACUUUACACUGGCAUUAGGAAUGGGAUGUGUAGGAUAGGUGGUAGGCUUUGAAGCGGAGGCGCUAGCUUUCGUGGAGCCGUCCUUGAAAUACCACCCUUCUUGUUCCUGAUGUCUAACCGCGAUCCUGAAACGGGAUCCGAGACAGUGUAUGGUGGGCAGUUUGACUGGGGCGGUCGCCUCCCAAAGAGUAACGGAGGCGCGCGAUGGUAGGCUCAAUCCGGUCGGAAAACGGAUGUUGAGUGCAAUGGCAAAAGCCUGCCUGACUGCAAGGUCGACGGACCAAGCAGAGACGAAAGUCGGUCAUAGUGAUCCGGUGAUCCCGCGUGGAAGGGUCAUCGCUCAACGGAUAAAAGGUACGCCGGGGAUAACAGGCUGAUCGCACCCAAGCGUCCAUAGCGACGGUGCGGUUUGGCACCUCGAUGUCGGCUCAUCACAUCCUGGGGCUGUAGCCGGUCCCAAGGGUAUGGCUGUUCGCCAUUUAAAGUGGUACGUGAGCUGGGUUUAGAACGUCGUGAGACAGUUCGGUCCCUAUCCGCCGUGGGUGUUCGAAACUUGAGAGGACUUGUUCCUAGUACGAGAGGACCGGAACGAACGUAUCUCUGGUGGAUCGGUUGUCACGCCAGUGGCAUAGCCGAGUAGCUAAAUACGGACGAGAUAACCGCUGAAAGCAUCUAAGCGGGAAACUCACCUCAAAACCAGGUUUCGCUUGAGAGCCGGGGAAGACUACCCCGUCGAUAGGCCAGAUGUGUAAGUACAGCAAUGUAUUGAGCUGACUGGUACUAAUCGCUCGAAAAG
This 1359-nucleotide ribosomal RNA is filed under the name metagenome. RNAcentral's name for it is "bacterial LSU rRNA". It matches the Rfam family "Bacterial large subunit ribosomal RNA", at positions 1431 to 2915 of the family's 2925-position model. The record is from RNAcentral.